GAAUCUCAGGUCAAGCUCAGCGCUUGCAUUUCUUUCCACUGGACUUCAGGAGCUGCCUGGAAUAAAAUUGUGCACCUGAGAACAGCUUGGAUGCCCUGUAUACAAAUUCCACAGCUCGUACAGUAGACAAACGAAGGACAUGAUUGUUCAAACCUUUCUGUGUAGCAGUGAUCUUUACCAGGUGGUCCCACAGACCUUGGUGGGAUUACACAGGAACUGGUUGGAAAUGCUGCCAAACAGAACCUGGGUAACUUCUGUGAACACAGAA
Molecule: long non-coding RNA, 268 nt
Organism: Nothoprocta perdicaria
Lineage: Eukaryota; Metazoa; Chordata; Aves; Tinamiformes; Tinamidae
Exons: 3
Source: RefSeq, a predicted model, not a curated record